This is a non-coding RNA of Myodes glareolus (Bank vole), 647 nucleotides long. The record is from RefSeq and is a predicted model, not a curated record. NCBI's taxonomy places the organism in Eukaryota, Metazoa, Chordata, Mammalia, Rodentia, Cricetidae.
GGGGCUGCCGGGCACUCCGCAGCCUCCGGAGGACUGGGCGCGGCCAGCCUUCUGAGUCAGUAACUAGUUCUGGGUGAGCCCCCACCACCAGAGCAGCUGGCAGCACCAGGGAUAACUAGUGCUUCAGAAAACACAUUCUUGCCAUGGCAACGAGCGGACUAGCCACCGUGCACUCACUUGGAGCGGGAUCGCCGCCUGUUGUCAUGCCUGCGCCGGGAAGGGCUGGGGGAGCCGGAGGAGCUGCUAGAGCUGGAGCUCCGGGAUGUGCUGGAGCUCCCAGAGCGGCUGGACGCAGAGGAGGAGCUAGAGCCACUGCUUGAACCUGUGCUGGUGCUGGAGCCCGAGCUGGAAGUUGAGCUGGAUCGAGACCUGAGGAAAAGGUGGGGUAUCAGAGUCAAUGAGCAAGAGUCACGUUUUUGCACACAAGACUGCCCAGCAGGAAAUGGACCUCCUAGUUCUUUCUUUAAGUCAUCAGCAAUGACACCUGACAGGUCCCGAAAGCAAAGACAGGCUGUUGUCACCUGUACAGAACCCUAAAUUUUACCAAUGGAGAAAAGGCAGGAGUCUAGCCAAGGUCAGAUCACCACCACAGCUUGCAACAGGGCUGUAGAUACUCAGGCAGGCUUUCAACUACCAAAAACUGAGCU